RNAcentral lists this ribosomal RNA (253 nucleotides) under uncultured bacterium. RNAcentral describes it as "partial 16S ribosomal RNA". It matches the Rfam family "Bacterial small subunit ribosomal RNA", at positions 524 to 776 of the family's 1533-position model. The record is from RNAcentral.
UACAGAGGGUGCGAGCGUUGUCCGGAAUCACUGGGCGUAAAGGGCGCGUAGGUGGCGCUGCAAGUCGGUGGUGAAAGCUCGUCGCUUAACGGCGAGUCGGCCAUCGAAACUGCAGGGCUCGAGCACUGUAGGGGCUAAUGGAAUUCCGGGUGUAGCGGUGGAAUGCGUAGAGAUCCGGAAGAACACCGGAGGCGAAGGCGGCUUGCUGGGCAUUGUCUGACGCUGAGGCGCGAAAGCGUGGGGAGCGAACAGG